This 253-nucleotide ribosomal RNA is filed under the name uncultured bacterium. RNAcentral describes it as "partial 16S ribosomal RNA". It matches the Rfam family "Bacterial small subunit ribosomal RNA", at positions 524 to 776 of the family's 1533-position model. The record is from RNAcentral.
UACGGAGGGUGCGAACGUUACUCGGAAUCACUGGGCGUAAAGCGCGCGUAGGCGGUCUGUUAAGUGGGAUGUGAAAUCCCCGGGCUUAACCUGGGAAUUGCAUUUCAAACUGGCCGACUAGAGUACGGUAGAGGGAGGUAGAAUUUCCUGUGUAGCGGUGAAAUGCGUAGAUAUAGGAAGGAAUACCAGUGGCGAAGGCGGCCUCCUGGAUCGAUACUGACGCUGAGGCGAGAAAGCGUGGGGAGAAAACAGG